GGGCUUGUAACUCAGAGGUUAGAGUGUACGCUUGAUAAGCGUAAAGUCGGUGUUCAAUUCCACUCGAGCCUA
This 72-nucleotide transfer RNA is filed under the name Eukaryota sp. BB2. Its description in RNAcentral is "tRNA-Ile". It matches the Rfam family "tRNA". From Rfam's summary of the family: Transfer RNA (tRNA) molecules are approximately 80 nucleotides in length. The record is from RNAcentral.